RNAcentral lists this ribosomal RNA (492 nucleotides) under uncultured bacterium. RNAcentral describes it as "partial 16S ribosomal RNA". It matches the Rfam family "Bacterial small subunit ribosomal RNA", at positions 29 to 507 of the family's 1533-position model. The record is from RNAcentral.
AGUGAACGCUGGCGGUAGGCCUAACACAUGCAAGUCGAACGGCAGCACAGUAAGAGCUUGCUCUUACGGGUGGCGAGUGGCGGACGGGUGAGGAAUACAUCGGAAUCUACUUUUUCGUGGGGGAUAACGUAGGGAAACUUACGCUAAUACCGCAUACGACCUACGGGGGAAAGCAUGGGAUCUUCGGACCUUGCGCGAUUGAAUGAGCCGAUGUCGGAUUAGCUAGUUGGCGGGGUAAAGGCCCACCAAGGCGACGAUCCGUAGCUGGUCUGAGAGGAUGAUCAGCCACACUGGAACUGAGACACGGUCCAGACUCCUACGGGAGGCAGCAGUGGGGAAUAUUGGACAAUGGGCGCAAGCCUGAUCCAGCCAUACCGCGUGUGUGAAGAAGGCCUUCGGGUUGUAAAGCCCUUUUGUUGGGAAAGAAAAGCAGCAGGUUAAUACCCCGCUGUUCUGACGGUACCCAAAGAAUAAGCACCGGCUAACUUCGUG